Anguilla anguilla (European eel) is the source of this 1003-nucleotide long non-coding RNA. RefSeq lists it as uncharacterized. Lineage: Eukaryota; Metazoa; Chordata; Actinopteri; Anguilliformes; Anguillidae. The record is from RefSeq and is a predicted model, not a curated record. The transcript is spliced from 3 exons.
CACAACAAUUGGGUGCACAGAACUGUGGGACCCCAGCAGCAUCAACUACAACAACUCAUCCCCCCUCCCCCUAACCCACAUCUCACUGCCUUUCCGUCUUCAGCUUUAAGAACUGAAACAUAAGAAGAAAAAAACAGAAACAAGACAGAAAGGCCAUAUGAAGGAGGAGAGAUGUGAAGCAGGAGAGAGAAGGGGGCAGGAGAUGGCCAAGGGGAGGAGAUCUUCAGGAGCAAUGGGAGUGGUUGUACGCGUAAACAGAGGACUCAUUGAAAUCGGUUACAGUGCCUGUUCAACCUGAAACGUCUCUGGAGCAGCACGUUUUUGUCACACCACAGAAAAUGGUCCUUCUCUACCCCUAACAGCACAUGGAUGACCGAGGAGUGGCAGAACUGGAAUGGGUAAAAAUCAGUGGGGCCCCUACCCACCAUGUACCCUAACGCACCGGGGCACUUAGCAGGGGGGCCCGCGUAGCACCCCAUUAUGGCACACUGAUUGGGAGGGUGUGGGCCUGCUUUGCUGCUGUCAGCACUAUGUUAUGUAACAGCACUGAGCAGCACGGACACACAGAGGCCAGUGUGUUUCAGAGAGGAAGUCACACUGCAGCCUUUCCUCUGGUACCCCAUUGUGAACCCCCCCCCCCCCCCACCACCACCACCACCACCACCAAACACCCUCUACAUCAGACCAUGAUACACACAUGGACCAACUUAGGACUUAUAAAUGCUUUAAAAAUCUUUGGUGUUACUCAUUUUAUAGUUUUAUUGGAAAAUUUUAAAAAGGAAAAAUAAGUAAAUUACAUUUGAUAAUUACAUUUGGUGAAUGUUAACUGCGAAAAUCACCAGAAUUAAGCCUGAACAUGAUUAGCAUUUAAAUGUUGAAACAUAGUUAUAUAAGAACUAGUUGAUUAGUUAAUACACUGGCCUUUCUCUUUGACUUGGAGCUACAAAUGUGAGUAAUUUGUAAAUUAUUUCUUAUUCUUAAAAAAUAAAAUUAAGUUUAUUGU